RNAcentral lists this transfer RNA (68 nucleotides) under Pheidole yeensis. Its description in RNAcentral is "tRNA-Pro". Lineage: Eukaryota; Metazoa; Arthropoda; Insecta; Hymenoptera; Formicidae. The record is from RNAcentral.
CAAAAAAUAGUUUAUUAGGGAGAAUAUUAAUUUUGGAGAUUAGAGGUGUGAUUUUAUUACUUUUUUGA